GCCCCCUCUAUCUGCCUCUCUCUUCUGGAUUCUGAUAACUGCUCCCUCCCCUUGUCAUUUUAGGUCUAGAAGGGAGCAACUGUUUCACUGUCAUCAGUUUUCUCUGCCUCCUGCCCACAUCUUUGAAAACACUGCUUUUGAAGGCCUCCUUGAAUGAUCCUGCCUCCUGCUGAGGGUGUGACUGCCAGCCGUCUCCAGAACACGUUCUCCAUCAGUCCCCAGAGGGGAGCAUCCCCUCCAUCCUCAUCAGAGAGAGAACCUAGACAGAACCAGACAUCCUCCAAGAGAAAAGGUUCCAGCGUCACUGAAAAAGAGAAACAGCCCCUCCCUUUACCCCAGCUGGAGAGGCCUAACGUCUUCCAUGACUCUCAGCACACCUGCACAGUGGCGCUGUCUGCAGAAAGUAAAAUGAGCUUCUUUGACAAGCUCCUGGCAUGGGACCCUGCAGAACCGAGACCAGCAGAAAGAUUGACCCCCUAUAAAUCCGCGCAGUUCAGUCUAACAAGUAAGUAUGUGAUCGCAACCAACACUGUCAGAGGCGGGGACCAGUGUCUGCGGUUGUUCUGUUCCCUCAGCAUGUUGGAUG
This 586-nucleotide long non-coding RNA is filed under the name Callithrix jacchus (white-tufted-ear marmoset). RNAcentral's name for it is "lncRNA (ENSCJAG00000077928.1)". Lineage: Eukaryota; Metazoa; Chordata; Mammalia; Primates; Cebidae. The record is from RNAcentral.